This 477-nucleotide ribosomal RNA is filed under the name Triticum aestivum (bread wheat). RNAcentral's name for it is "partial small subunit ribosomal RNA". Lineage: Eukaryota; Viridiplantae; Streptophyta; Magnoliopsida; Poales; Poaceae. The record is from RNAcentral.
UUGGCGAUCAGGUACGGUAAUGGAAUAUCUGUAAAAUGCCUCAUCUACAAUGCCACCGGUGCGACUCUGAGCUUGGCUACCUACAGCGAUUGGCACGGGCAUAUCUAUGAUACACCCUACCCAUCAGAUAUUCAGAAUGGGCAGUGGGGGGCAUUUCUCCACGUCCACCCACGUGGAGCUGCGGCUGGUUCAGCUGGUGCCGUUGUGUAUCGUACCAAGCUCCCCUCCGGCGACGACGGCUCCUGCGAUUGGUUGUUCAGCAACGGGGUAAAUACUGCAUGCAUACAUACGGCGUACACCGAAAUCCGUGAGGAAGACCACUACCCAAGUGUUGGAAGCUGGGAUUUUAUCUACAAUGAGAAGCUGGAAAAUUCAAAUGCCAACUCUACUGAUGACAACUAUGGAUAUGUUUCCAAGACUGACAUCGGUGAAGGCAGUACCAUGAACGCCCCUGGAGUUUUCCAGUUUCCCUACUAG